UAGCAUUUGCAUUGUAAACUCCUGUCGGCCGGGAAGAAUUGGCGGGGCUCUAAUCGGUCCCGUUUUGACUGUACCGGCAAAGGAAGCCCCGGCUAACUCCGUGC
RNAcentral lists this ribosomal RNA (104 nucleotides) under uncultured bacterium. Its description in RNAcentral is "partial 16S ribosomal RNA". The record is from RNAcentral.